Molecule: ribosomal RNA, 425 nt
Filed under: uncultured bacterium
Lineage: Bacteria
Description: partial 16S ribosomal RNA
Rfam family: Bacterial small subunit ribosomal RNA
Source: RNAcentral
GUGGGGAAUAUUGGACAAUGGGCGCAAGCCUGAUCCAGCCAUGCCGCGUGAGUGAUGAAGGCCUUAGGGUUGUAAAGCUCUUUCAGUGGGGACGAUAAUGACGGUACCCACAGAAGAAGCCCCGGCUAACUUCGUGCCAGCAGCCGCGGUAAUACGAAGGGGGCUAGCGUUGUUCGGAUUUACUGGGCGUAAAGCGCACGUAGGCGGAUUGGUCAGUUAGAGGUGAAAUCCUGGAACUCAACUCCAGAACUGCCUUUAAUACUGCCAGUCUAGAGUCCAGAAGAGGUGAGUGGAACUCCUAGUGUAGAGGUGGAAUUCGUAGAUAUUAGGAAGAACACCAGUGGCGAAGGCGGCUCACUGGUCUGGUACUGACGCUGAGGUGCGAAAGCGUGGGGAGCAAACAGGAUUAGAAACCCUAGUAGUCC